GACGAACGCUGGCGGCGUGCUUAACACAUGCAAGUCGAACGGAAAGGCCCUGCUUGCAGGGUACUCGAGUGGCGAACGGGUGAGUAACACGUGGGUGAUCUGCCCUGCACUUCGGGAUAAGCCUGGGAAACUGGGUCUAAUACCGGAUAGGAGCCAUUUUUAGUGUGAUGGUUGGAAAGUUUUUUCGGUGUAGGAUGAGCUCGCGGCCUAUCAGCUUGUUGGUGGGGUAAUGGCCUACCAAGGCGGCGACGGGUAGCCGGCCUGAGAGGGUGGACGGCCACAUUGGGACUGAGAUACGGCCCAGACUCCUACGGGAGGCAGAAGUGGGGAAUAUUGCACAAUGGGCGCAAGCCUGAUGCAGCGACGCCGCGUGGGGGAUGGCGGCCUUCGGGUUGUAAACUCCUUUCGCUAGGGACGAAGCUUUUUGUGACGGUACCUAGAUAAGAAGCACCGGCUAACUACGUG
Molecule: ribosomal RNA, 465 nt
Filed under: uncultured bacterium
Lineage: Bacteria
Description: partial 16S ribosomal RNA
Rfam family: Bacterial small subunit ribosomal RNA
Source: RNAcentral